GACGAACGUUGGCGGCGUGCUUAAUACAUGCAAGUCAACUGAAGCAGUGGUAGCAAUAUCGCUGUGGAGGUGGCGCACGGGUGAGUAACACGUAGGUAAUCUGCCUUCAGGUCUGGCAUAACUCCGGGAAACCGGGGCUAAUAGCAGAUGAUGCAGCGGCUCGACAUCGAGACAGUUGUUAAAGCUAUGGCGCCUGAAGAUGAGCCUGCGUCUGAUUAGCUAGUUGGCGGGGUAACGGCCCACCAAGGCAACGAUCAGUAGCUGGUCUGAGAGGAUGAUCGGCCACACUGGAACUGAGACACGGUCCAGACUCCUACGGGAGGCAGCAGUAAGGAAUAUUGCUCAAUGGGAGAAAUCCUGAAGCAGCAACGCCGCGUGAGGGACGAAGGGCUUUUGCUUGUAAACCUCUGUAGUGAGAGAAAAAAAUCCCAAUCUUUGGGACAUGAUGGUAUCUCAAAAGUAAGCCCCGGCUAACUACGU
Molecule: ribosomal RNA, 480 nt
Filed under: uncultured bacterium
Lineage: Bacteria
Description: partial 16S ribosomal RNA
Rfam family: Bacterial small subunit ribosomal RNA
Source: RNAcentral